RNAcentral lists this long non-coding RNA (346 nucleotides) under Monodelphis domestica (gray short-tailed opossum). Its description in RNAcentral is "lncRNA (ENSMODG00000050782.1)". The record is from RNAcentral. Lineage: Eukaryota; Metazoa; Chordata; Mammalia; Didelphimorphia; Didelphidae.
AUGAAUAGUCUGGUCUACCCUUUGAUCCAGACUAGCACUGCUGGGUUUGUACCCCAAAGAGAUAAUAAGGAAAAAGAUUUGUACAAGAAUAUUCAUAGCUGCGCUCCUUGUGGUAGCAAAAAAUUGGAAAAUGAGGGGAUGCCCAUCAAUUGGGGAAUGGCUGAGCAAAUUGUGGUAUAUGUUGGGGAUGCCCAUCAAUUGGGGAAUGGCUGAACAAAUUGUGGUAUAUGUUGGGGAUGCCCAUCAAUUGGGGAAUGGCUGAACAAACUGUGGUAUAUGUUGGUGAUGGAAUACUAUUGUGCUCAAAGGAAUAAUAAAGUGGAGAAGUUCCAUGGAGACUGGAACA